CGAAAUGCGAUACGUAAUGUGAAUUGCAGAAUUCAGUGAAUCAUCGAGUCUUUGAACGCACAUUGCGCCCCCUGGUAUUCCGGGGGGCAUGCCUGUCCGAGCGUCAUUGCUGCCCUCAAGCACGGCUUGUGUGUUGGGCCCCCUUCCCCCCCCAAGGGGACGGGCCCGAAAGGCAGCGGCGGCACCGUGUCCGGUCCUCGAGCGUAUGGGAAGCAACUUUUUGUCACCCGCUCCUGUAGGUCCGGCCGGCGGCCUGCCCAACCCCAACCUUUUUUUCAACCAGGUUGACCUCGGAUCAGGUAGGGAUACCCGCUGAACUUAAGC
Molecule: unclassified non-coding RNA, 324 nt
Filed under: plant metagenome
Description: partial contains 5.8S ribosomal RNA, internal transcribed spacer 2, and large subunit ribosomal RNA
Rfam family: 5.8S ribosomal RNA (bases 1-106)
Source: RNAcentral